AUCAUUAAUGAAAUUAUAAUCCGGCGAGGGAAAGGCGGAGAGUUGUAGCUGGCCCCAGGGCAUGUGCACGCUCUCUUCCGGACUUUCGCCGUAUGGGCGCGGGGCGACCCGCGUCUUCAUAUACCUCUUCGUGUAGAAAGUCUUUGAAUGUUAUUACCAUCAUCGAGUCGCGACUUCUAGGAGACGCGAUUCUUUGAGACAAAAGUUAUUACAACUUUCAGCAACGGAUCUCUUGGCUCUCGCAUCGAUGAAGAACGCAGCGAAUCGCGAUAUGUAAUGUGAAUUGCAGAUCUACAGUGAAUCAUCGAAUCUUUGAACGCACCUUGCGCUCCUCGGUGUUCCGAGGAGCAUGCCUGUUUGAGUGUCAGUAAAUUCUCAACCCCUCUCGAUUUGCUUCGAUAGGGUGCUUGGAUGUUGGGGGCUGCCGGAGACACUGGACUCGUCCAGGACUCGGGCUCCUCUUAAAUGAAUCGGCUUGCGGUCGACUUUCGACUUUGCAUGACAAGGCCUUUGGCGUGAUAAUGAUCGCCGUUCGCCGAAGUGCAAGACAGAACGGUCCCGUGCCUCUAACGCGUCGACGCCUCUCGGGGCCGUCUUCCUCAUUGACGUUUGACCUCAAAUCAGGUAGGACUACCCGCUGAACUUAAGCAUAUC
Molecule: ribosomal RNA, 654 nt
Filed under: uncultured Suillus
Lineage: Eukaryota; Fungi; Basidiomycota; Agaricomycetes; Boletales; Suillaceae
Description: eukaryotic LSU rRNA
Rfam family: 5.8S ribosomal RNA (bases 213-367)
Source: RNAcentral